CGGUUCGCCAGGCCGACAGUGUGCCAGGUGCUGGGCAUUCAGCAGUGAACAGGUCACGCUGGGGCACUCCCACACCAAAUCUGACUCAGUGUGCUUUGUUCACGGGUACCAUCUUAAAGAUGAAAAGAGAUGAAACCAGACUGGCUAUGCAGUAACAACUCUUUUAGAGAAUCCAGUUUCCUACAGUGUCCAGGAGAGAAUCGUUACAAUUUAGCGCAAUGGAUGUCCAGGGUCCUGGGAGGAGAAGCCAGAGAGAGGACACCUCAGCAGGAGUGAUGGGGGUGAGGAAGCAGCAAAGGAUCCCAGAAGCAGGGGGACUGCGACCUGAGUGCUAAAGGGAAUUCUGUUCAUCCAGGAGACCCCAUUAAUUUGAAGUUACCCCGGGACUAUUUAUGGAAUCCAGAAAGACCUUUGAUGGCUUCACUCACUCUGUCUAGAAGAUUCUCCUGGAGUCCUGAGCUUGUCUCAGUCAGCACUGAAAGCCUGAGAGAGAGACAAAGAGAGAGCGAGCGAGCCAGCACCACACUUGCUUCUUGACUCGGUCCUGCUUUAUAGCUGCACCUGAUGGAAACAUCUGUUCUUCAGCUAAAUGCCAAGAAGAGCCAGUUUGAGACUGGUGAGUGAUUUGCUGAAAGAAUUCAGAAGGUACCAGAGGAGAUUCAUGUUCGAAUUCCAUCUCCUGUUCUCCAGCCUUACUCUCUAGGGUGCCUUUGAAGGUCAAACUGAGUCUCCAUGAAAUCACCCUCCACCAGGUGGACAGACCAUUCCGACUUUAGGAAGGAAGAUGGUGACCCAGGGUGUCCCCUGCUCUUCAGUGCAGCAGCCAAACUCCCUUUCAACAUCAUCAGCUGUCCAAGAUCCAGUUCAGUUAGCUCAAACCCAUCUUCUCACCAAAUUCCUAGGCUAUUAAAGAUUCAAGGAUGCCUCAAAGAAGGUGUCUGGUCUGUCUUUUUGUCUGAGACUCUAAACUCUAGCAUGGCCUGUUGGAAAAAGAGCAUCCCUAUGUAUAGGUUUGAGUGAACCUUACUUGGGAGAAUUGGUUUUUGUUUUUCAACCACUCGUAAGAACAGCUUGCUGAUGCUUUCUGAUGGUGGCAAUGGAAAAAGUCAACAUUUGGGUCAGCUGGCACGCAUGCCUAGUCCAAGCCAUGGCCAUCCCCACCAGGCUACUGCAGUGGCCCCUGAUGUGGUCUCCCUGCCUCCCCUCUCACUCCGUACUGCCCAUUUCCACACAGCAGCUGAAGCCACCAAUGGCUUCUCAUCACACUUAGAAUAAAGCCCAAGCUCCUCACCCUGGCCGAUGAGGCCUCCAGAACAUGGCUCUGCCUGGUUUUUCUAACUGAUUUUGUACCAUCCUCCCCAUGCCCACCACUUUCCAGCCCUCGCUUUCUUACAGUUCCUUGAACACAUUAAAUUUGCUUCUACCUACAGUCCCUCACACUUGUUCCUUUUGCCUGGAAUGACCCCGAUGAUUGCCUUUCCAGCUCUUCUUGUCAUUUCCUUUUCUUAUUAAACGUCACUUCUCCUGAGAAUCCUUCCCUGACCACCCCAUCUGAAUGAGUUCCAGCAUAUAACUUGGUUUUAUUUUCGCCUUAAUACUUCUGGUAUUUUCUUGUUUAUUCAAUCUGUUUUACCGUCUGGCU
Molecule: long non-coding RNA, 1642 nt
Organism: Camelus dromedarius (Arabian camel)
Lineage: Eukaryota; Metazoa; Chordata; Mammalia; Artiodactyla; Camelidae
Exons: 3
Source: RefSeq, a predicted model, not a curated record